RNAcentral lists this long non-coding RNA (778 nucleotides) under Ficedula albicollis (Collared flycatcher). RNAcentral describes it as "lncRNA (ENSFALG00000023118.1)". The record is from RNAcentral. Lineage: Eukaryota; Metazoa; Chordata; Aves; Passeriformes; Muscicapidae.
CCCCCCCCCCCCCCCCCCCCCCCCCCCCCCCCCCCCCCCCCCCCCCCCCCCCCCUGCGCUGCCUGUGCCGCCCAUCCCCGCGGGGGCUGCAGCCAUGCAGCGCAGCCUCAGGGACACGGUGCCUGAGAAAGAGAAUGACAGGAAAUGUUCCCGAGCGGAAAAGAGCAGUUACAAGAGUCUCUUCCAAGUCAUAGAAGAGAUGGAACACUUUCAAGAGGACAGCCAGAGUGAGGAGGAGCUGUCCCCAGGGGAAGAUGACAGCGAGCUCUCUCCAGGGGACAGCAACACUGAUCCAGAGCUAUCUGAAGAGGAAGAGGCCAGAGAGGUCAUUCCAGAGGACAGCACAAAUGACCAGGAGCUGUCCCCAAAGGAGGAUGACAGAGAGCUCUUCCCAAUGGACAGCACAAGGGAUAACCCGAUUGAUGUGGAGAUGUCCUCAGUGGAAGAGCCCAUUGAGGUCAUUGCAGAGGACAGCAUGAGUGAGAAGGAGCUGUCCUCAGUGGAAGAGGAUGUUGAGAGGCCAUCGAGCUCUUCCCAGGGGACAGCUUCCCGGGUGAAGAAAAGCAUGAAGAAGAGGCGUCUCAAGGGGAGAAUGACUGUGCCAAAGAGCUGCCCCAAUGCGAUUACAACGAGCAUGAGAAGCUUUCCCCAGAAGAUGAUAAAUAUGAAACAGAGCUGUGCUUUGGGGAAGAGUGUGACAUCCAAGACAUGUUCCCACAGGCAGCAGAUGACAAUGAACAUCUGUCCCUAUGUGAAGAACAUGAACAUGAGGAGGUGA